GCCUUUGUGGUGCAAUGGUCAAGCAUACUCGGAUCGUAUUCGAGAGGUCCGUGGUUCGAAUUCCGGUGAGGGCA
Molecule: non-coding RNA, 74 nt
Organism: Stegodyphus mimosarum
Lineage: Eukaryota; Metazoa; Arthropoda; Arachnida; Araneae; Eresidae
Source: Rfam